Long non-coding RNA from Triticum dicoccoides, 1370 nucleotides. RefSeq lists it as uncharacterized. NCBI's taxonomy places the organism in Eukaryota, Viridiplantae, Streptophyta, Magnoliopsida, Poales, Poaceae. The transcript has 2 exons. The record is from RefSeq and is a predicted model, not a curated record.
GCCCCCAACCGAAAUCCCGCCGGUGCCCGGCUAGUCUCCCCAGCGCGCCGGUGCCUCCCCGGACGUCGCCGGCACCCCGCGCGCCUGCUUCGCUGCCACCAUCCAGUGAGUAGCCGCCACAACUACCGCCCCCGAGAGCGCCGGCACGCACGGAUCCAGCCGUACCCGACCGGAGUGGGCCAGGGGUGCCCUUCGCGGGCGCUGUGUCGCCGCCGUUGACCGCCAUGCCACUGCCGCCCCCCAAUUCCCCACCACACAUUGCCACGCGCGGCGCCCCUCUGCCUCUUGUGUGUCACCGCGAGCCAGCCCCGCGCCGACGACUAGGCAUGACUCGGACCACGGUGUUCUGCUGCUAGCUCUAGAAGCGCCCUCAGGCACUAAUCCCGUUCUUCCACACGACCGCUGCUGGUCACCCGCCCCAAAUGCCGUCGAGCCAGCAUCUCCUCCAAAAAAUCUGAUGGCGGAGGGCCCCUGCUCCUCAAUGCCAUGGCCGCCCUAUCCGCUCGGCCCCCUGGCAAUCCUUGCCGCCGCCCCGCCAUAGACGUCCACCCUAUGGAGCUCCCUCCUCCACUGGUGUCCGGCUGCCUCCCUGUCCCUUGCCACAUCUACGCAUGGACCUCUAUGAGGGGAGAGUUCAUCAUCUCAGGGCACCACAUCAACACUCCAAGUUCGCAUUCUUUCUCGAUCUCUGUUUUCUGUUGUUCCCUACUGUUGUAUUGUAACCAGAUCAAGCAUCGAUUCCUUCCCCCGUCUAGUUCUGUGUUUCUAAUUAUUUUUCAUGUCUGAAGUUCAACUAUAUCUACAGGCGCAGCCGACCCUGACGUGCUCCUGCAUAUUGAUACUGUUGCUGCUGUCAAAAUUUCUCUUAACUGAACUUAACUCUUUUUACUGAUUGAACUGUGCAGGAGAUGUGUGGAGCAAGCACUGUGACAAUGCAGUAAAGGAAAAUAAUGCAUGCUUGUGUGAAGUUCUAUCACGGCUAUAUGCUGGAAGCUGUGAAGUCCUAGCACGGCUCUCCACCAAGUUCUAGUCGAUUCAACGUCUACUCUUUCCGUUUUUCACUCUAGUGAGCAUGAGAUGCUGCUGAUGCAUGUGCUCUUCUACCUCGGAAAGAAGCUACUGCUGCUUCGGAUUUGGGUGAACAUCCGGUAUGGAGAUGUGUGUAUGCUACGAUGAGAAGAUAAGGUAUAUGAUUUUUUUUAUAGACAAAGGUGUGUGUAUGCUACGAUGAGAAGAUAAGGUAUUUUUUUAUAGAAUCAAUGUGUGGUGGAGAGACAUGCACCGCUUUGUCACAAAACCAUCAACUGGCUUAUAUAUUGCUUAAAUUAUUAUCACAUAUGUAAUUAGAAGAGCAAGUACUUAGUUUUUCA